This 468-nucleotide unclassified non-coding RNA is filed under the name uncultured fungus. RNAcentral's name for it is "sequence contains ITS2". The stretch from base 1 to 154 matches the Rfam family "5.8S ribosomal RNA". Lineage: Eukaryota; Fungi. The record is from RNAcentral.
AACUUUUAACAAUGGAUCACUUGGCUCUCGCAUCGAUGAAGAACGCAGCGAAAUGCGAUACGUAAUGUGAAUUGCAGAAUUCUGUGAACCAUCGAAUCUUUGAGCGCAUAUUGCGCUCUUUGGUUUUCCGAAGAGCAUGGUUGUUUGAGUCUCAGUAAACACCUCCAAGCUUUUGGAUUUUUUAAUUGAAAAGCUUUGGACUUGAGCAAUCCAACACCAAUCUUUUUGAGAUCGGUGGCGGGUUGCUUGAAAUGCUGGUGCAGCUGGACAUUCUCCUGAGCUAAAAGCAUAUUCAUUUAGUCCCGUCAAACGGAUUAUUACUUUUGCUGCAGCUAACAUAAAGGGAGUUUGACCGUAUUGGCUGACUGAUGCAGGAUUUCUCAAGGGUCGGCAACGAUUCUUGUUAAACCCGAUCUCAAAUCAAGUAAGACCACCCGCUGAACUUAAGCAUAUCAAUAAGCGGAGGCU